RNAcentral lists this long non-coding RNA (458 nucleotides) under Rhinopithecus bieti (black snub-nosed monkey). RNAcentral describes it as "lncRNA (ENSRBIG00000045756.1)". Lineage: Eukaryota; Metazoa; Chordata; Mammalia; Primates; Cercopithecidae. The record is from RNAcentral.
GUAGGUUAACUUUUGACAUAGGUGGUCAUCGUAAGUGUUUUUAUAACAUGUUUGUUUAUUUCUAUAGGAAUUAUGUUGGAAUAUGAAAAACAUGGAGAAUUAAAGACGAAGUCAAUAGAUUUGCUUGAUCUUGGUCCCAGGUUCUCAAAGCACAUAUAUUGCCACUGACUAACGUUGCACUUAACAAAUCGGGCUCAUGGUAAGAUUCUCUUUUUAUAUCUAAUUUUUAGCAAUGAAACAAAUUUCUGUGUUUAUCAAAGAUUCCAGUUUGCUAAGUACAUAAUAUAUUCAUUUUUCUGAUUUCAGUACCCUCUUGGAUAUUGAGGAGAAAUAUAAGCCCUUUUUCCCACUAUUCUAAUCUGAGUUUUCUGUCAUAUUCAUGCCACAGUGAAUGGGAGGCAUCUUGGGUUCUCAGCAAAUGUGGCUUGUGAAGAACUCAACUCAGGAAUGAGUCAGGC